Molecule: ribosomal RNA, 253 nt
Filed under: uncultured bacterium
Lineage: Bacteria
Description: partial 16S ribosomal RNA
Rfam family: Bacterial small subunit ribosomal RNA
Source: RNAcentral
UACGGGGGGGGCAAGCGUUGUUCGGAAUUACUGGGCGUAAAGGGCUCGUAGGCGGCCAACUAAGUCAGACGUGAAAUCCCUCGGCUUAACCGGGGAACUGCGUCUGAUACUGGAUGGCUUGAGUUUGGGAGAGGGAUGCGGAAUUCCAGGUGUAGCGGUGAAAUGCGCAGAUAUCGGGAGGAACACCAAUGGCGAAGGCAGCUCGCUGGGACGGUACUGACGCUGAGACGCGACGGCGUGGGGAGCAAACCGG